Molecule: ribosomal RNA, 260 nt
Filed under: uncultured bacterium
Lineage: Bacteria
Description: partial 16S ribosomal RNA
Rfam family: Bacterial small subunit ribosomal RNA
Source: RNAcentral
GUCCACGCCCUAACUAUGGAUACUAAGUGUCGGCGGGUUACCGCCGGUGCCGCAGCUAACGCAUUAAGUAUCCCGCCUGGGAAGUACGGCCGCAAGGUUGAAACUCAAAGGAAUUGACGGGCCCGCACAAGCGGUGGAGCAUGUGGUUUAAUUCGACGCAACGCGAAGAACCUUACCCAGGUUGGACAUGCACGUAGUAGAAAGGUGAAAGCCCGACGAGGUAGCAAUACCAGCGUGCUCAGGUGCUGCAUGGCUGUCGU